GGUCAGCUGACACAUCCCUGCCAAUCUCCGGCAGACCCUCCCUCCCAGACCCUCCUACUUCCUGGACAGCAUCCAUGUUGAAGGCAGCUUCAACAUGGAUGCUGUCCAGGAGGUGGGAGGGUCUGGGAGGGAGGGUCUGCCGGAGAUUGGCAUGGAUGUGUCAGCUG
This 167-nucleotide microRNA precursor is filed under the name Pelobates cultripes (western spadefoot toad). The record is from RNAcentral. Lineage: Eukaryota; Metazoa; Chordata; Amphibia; Anura; Pelobatidae.